This 512-nucleotide long non-coding RNA is filed under the name Carica papaya (papaya). Its description in RNAcentral is "long non-coding RNA (CPAP_LNC011201)". Lineage: Eukaryota; Viridiplantae; Streptophyta; Magnoliopsida; Brassicales; Caricaceae. The record is from RNAcentral.
GCCCACAUGGACAUCAAUGGAUGAAUAGGAGGUUUGUACUGUGUGGGUCCCUUCAACUUCAACCAGUUUCAUUUGGUGACCUUGAAUCCGAAAAUUGAGUGAAUUUUGCAGCCCAACAUUUGAGAUUCUAAACCUGUACGUUUUUCCUGCAAAUUUCAUUUAAUUUUACCAUUAAAAUUUAUAAACUACUUUCAAAAUUGACAAGGAGUAGUAAGAUUUAUCUUAAAGUACCUUGUUCAACAGUAAAAGAAGCCUUAUUCGUAGUAGUUCCGCGACCAUUGAUCAAGACUCCGUCAGGAAAAGGAAGUCUAUGACCUCGGUCUAGCAAUGUCUUCAAGACCUGAAACAAAUGGAACGCGUUAGUACCUUUACAUUUUUUAAAUGUCGUAUAAAAAUUUGUAACGCCAGAUAUUGAUAGGUUGAAUUACGUACGGAGUGAUCGUGUUGGUACCAAUCUCCGAUGAGAAGGGUGAAAUCUCCAGCUGGUUCGGGGAAGGGAACGGGAAUUCGAG